RNAcentral lists this transfer RNA (73 nucleotides) under Camelus bactrianus (Bactrian camel). It matches the Rfam family "tRNA". From Rfam's summary of the family: Transfer RNA (tRNA) molecules are approximately 80 nucleotides in length. Their secondary structure includes four short double-helical elements and three loops (D, anti-codon, and T loops). RNAcentral also lists the same sequence under 2 other names. Lineage: Eukaryota; Metazoa; Chordata; Mammalia; Artiodactyla; Camelidae. The record is from Rfam by way of RNAcentral.
GAGGGUGUAGCUCAGGUGGUAGAGCACUUGCUUAGCACACACAGGGUCCUGGGUUCAAUCCCCAGUACCUCCU